This 253-nucleotide ribosomal RNA is filed under the name uncultured bacterium. Its description in RNAcentral is "partial 16S ribosomal RNA". It matches the Rfam family "Bacterial small subunit ribosomal RNA", at positions 524 to 776 of the family's 1533-position model. The record is from RNAcentral.
UACGGAGGGAGCUAGCGUUGUUCGGAAUUACUGGGCGUAAAGCGCGCGUAGGCGGCCUUGCAAGUUAGAGGUGAAAGCCCGGAGCUCAACUCCGGAACUGCCUUUAAAACUGCAUAGCUUGAAUCCGGGAGAGGUGAGUGGAAUUCCGAGUGUAGAGGUGAAAUUCGUAGAUAUUCGGAAGAACACCAGUGGCGAAGGCGGCUCACUGGACCGGUAUUGACGCUGAGGUGCGAAAGCGUGGGGAGCAAACAGG